Molecule: ribosomal RNA, 513 nt
Filed under: uncultured bacterium
Lineage: Bacteria
Description: partial 16S ribosomal RNA
Rfam family: Bacterial small subunit ribosomal RNA
Source: RNAcentral
GACGAACGCUGGCGGCAUGCCUAAUACAUGCAAGUCGAGCGAACAGAUGAAGUGCUUGCACUUCUGACGUUAGCGGCGAACGGGUGAGUAACACGUAAGGAAUCUACCUAUAAGCGGGGGAUAACAUUCGGAAACGGGUGCUAAUACCGCAUAAUAUCUUCUUCCGCAUGGAAGAAGAUUGAAAGACGGCUCUGCUGUCACUUAUAGAUGACCUUGCGGUGCAUUAGUUAGUUGGUGGGGUAACGGCCUACCAAGACGAUGAUGCAUAGCCGACCUGAGAGGGUGAUCGGCCACAUUGGGACUGAGACACGGCCCAAACUCCUACGGGAGGCAGCAGUAGGGAAUCUUCCGCAAUGGGCGAAAGCCUGACGGAGCAAUGCCGCGUGAGUGAAGAAGGCUUUCGGGUCGUAAAACUCUGUUAUAAGAGAAGAACAAAUUGUGGAGUAACUGCUACAGUCUUGACGGUAUCUUAUCAGAAAGCCACGGCUAACUACGUGCCAGCCGCCGCCGUAA